This 329-nucleotide RNase P RNA is filed under the name human gut metagenome. RNAcentral's name for it is "Bacterial RNase P class A". It matches the Rfam family "Bacterial RNase P class A". From Rfam's summary of the family: Ribonuclease P (RNase P) is a ubiquitous endoribonuclease, found in archaea, bacteria and eukarya as well as chloroplasts and mitochondria. The record is from RNAcentral.
GAGCGGGCCGGGCAGCCGCGUGCCUUUUGGCAUGAGGAAAGUCCGAGCUUCACAGGGCGGGAUAACGGCUAACGGCCGCCGGGGGUGACCCUAGGGAAAGUGCAACAGAGAGAUACCGCCGCGCCUGGCGCGGUAAGGGUGGAAAGGCGAGGUAAGAGCUCACCGGCGCAUGGGAGACCAUGCGGCCCUGCAAACCCUAUCCGAAGCAACGCCGACCGAAGCGAUACAUUGGCCCGAUGUGCUUCAACGGGCGGCUAGAGCCGCAUGGCAACAUGCGGUCGAGAUAGAUGGCUGUCCAAGACAGAACUCGGCUUACAGGCCCGCUCAUC